UUUUAGUAUGGUAGUGAUAAGCUAUAAUAGAAAAGGGUAAUUAAGUAACUACAAGUUUGACUAUUAUUUAUAUUCAUAGCUGCUUGCAGCUUCCCUUUUGUUGCAACAAUAAUAAAUGACCCCAUUUGGCUAUUUAGCACCUGAUGAGGUUUGACAUAUUGCAACGCUGAAUCUUGAAGAAGAAGAAGAAGAAAAUGGGUAUGCUUAAGGAAUCAGUAUCAGUAUUGAUAAGCGUGCUUAUGAGGAAAAGUAGAAGCAUGUUUGAUGAACUUGCUUACUUAUUGGUAGACGUAUUAUCAAUUUUGGUAUCAGCUAUCAGAUUUUAUUCUCAUUCUAAUAGCUUGCAUUUCCGCCAAUCCACCACUGCAUCUAUUAACCCCAGGUACUACUCUCCCAUGGCUGCUCGGCAUGAUCGCUAACCAUAUACUCCAUUUACACCCACUAUAACAUUUACAUAUAUGUAUGCUGUUUCCUGUCUGUAUGAUGCAGUUCUCAUCGUGUAUCAUGAAUUAAUAAUUAAUUUUUAUUUUUUUUUGUAUUUUUUCCGAUGAUUAUAUAAUAAGAUCAUUAAUUAUGCACUAUUUGUUAUGUUAGGUAAAUUUGUAUUAAUUGUGUUUUUUUUUUAGUAAAAUUGAUUCUUUAAAAACAAGAUGGAACGAAAUGGACCAAAGGUCAAUCAAGAAUGCUUCAAGUUAUUUAAUCUACUUGAGUAGCAAAAUUUUAAAUCUGGUACCACACCUCUUAGUGAGGCUCAGAUUGCAAAAUACAAACAUCUUCCUUCUUAUUCUCAACUGAUUCUUGAUUGGAUAUAAAGAUCGACUUCUAUUUAUGGCCAGAAACUAAUCAAUGGACGGGAAAAGAAACUCUUAGCAAACAUGAAUCUCGGAUUUAUUUGUUUUGUGAUAUAGUAACUAUAAAAUCUCAUAUGUGCUUAUAAAUUCAUAAUGCAGUCAUAUUUUUAUUGCCUUAUUUGAAUUAACAGUCAUAGUGUUCUUUGCCUAAUUUGAAUCACCCACUCCAAGUAUUAUAUACAUAUAGCCCACGAAAAUACUUCAUUUAUAAAUGUAUUAUCCCUGAGGAGUUGAUCAAACAAAGGGGAAUUAUAAUUAGUUGAAGGUUCCCAUUUUAGGAUGGAUCAAUAUUGGUGUCACCUAGAAAAUGCGGCGAGACAAGAGUUCCAAGUGGCUACAGGAUAACUAGGACCUACAAUUCAUAAGGUUUAAGCGUGGGAACCACUCUGAUGCUAGUAUUUGAGUAAGGUUAAUACGCUCCAAGAAAUAUAGCCAUCCCUACCCCCUCACGUCAAUCCCGUAAUAGUGUUUGAAUGAUGAUAAUAGCAUUACAUUUGAAGUGUCUCUUAUUAUAGUAAAAUUUUAUAGGCAUAUACUCAAAACGAAAUAAAAUUUAUGACUAUAAGGAGAUCGUUACUUAAUAGAGAUUUGUAGUAUCCUUCGGUUAUAAUAAAAUUUUAUAGCCAUAUACUUGAAACUAUAAGUAUAACUUAAUAGAGGUUUGGAGUGUUCCUUAGUAAAGUAAAAUCUUAUACGAUAAAGGAGAUUAUAACUUAAUAGAGGUUCGAGUACUAAUUUUUCUUUUUUAUUUAAUACUUAAUCUUGUUAGUAAAAUGAUAGUAACCAUAGAUAAGAUACGUUAGUAUCUUAUCAUUUUGUACAAAUAAGAUUGAAGAGAUAAACAACAAUAUAGUAAAACAAAACAAAACAUAACAUUUAUUUUUUAAAAAUAUAUAUAUAAAAAUAUUAUUAUAUAGAAAAAGAUUUUCUUAUAGGACUUAAAAAAUUUAUAACACAUUAUAAAAUAAUAUUACAAAGAGAUAUUCCUCUAUUUAUAGGAAUUGUCUAAGAAAUAAUCCUAUAAGAAUUAAUCCUCGCAUAGAUGGUAGAUAAUGGUGCAUAAAAAGAGGAGAGACACGAGCUUUAUAUUCUAAAGAAAUGGUGAUAAUGGUAUUUACAAUGUUUAGAACUCGCUAUGCUUUCUUGUUAUAAGGCGAGUUAUUGGAAUGGGAUGACUCUUAUAGAUGAGUCUCCAUCAAAGAUUUAAUGAAACAUUUAUCCAAAUCUCUUUCUGUUUACACUAUAUUUGGCAAAAAAAAAGGGUAAGAUAAAGUAAGGUUUUUAACUAUAAUCUCCUUAAACCACUAAUUUGAUUUUGAAAAUUUUUAAAAACUUUCAAAAAUCUCACCUCAUAAUCGAAACUUUCUUCCUAGCUGGAAUUGGAGAUUUAAAAACUCUAUAAAAUCUUUAAAGACCUUGAAGAAAAUCCAUCCAAACAUGGUGUUAGUUUUUGUAUUAUUAGUUCACUCCAUUGGAGUAGACUUGCCUGAAAUGAGUGUAUUACACACAGCAAAUAGUAGAAUGUGCUGGAUAGAUGUUUGGUAAACACUCGGGCUAUGUGGAAAUCAUUUUAUUGUUUGGGUGCAAUACUGGCUAUGUAGGUUAUUAUUUGUUUUAUUGUAUUUCAUUAUGUUCUUCCAGCUUAUUGGAUGCACAGUAAAACAUUAGUCCAAUUUCAAAAGUACCAAAAGAUAAAUUGAGAAAUUUGAAAAGCAAAGGGGAAAAGAGAAAAAAGAAAUAAAAAUCAAGAGGUUUCAACAUUAACCUUAUUUACAUCUCUCCCUAAGAUUUAUGGUCUUGUACAAAACAAUAAUACAUUGGUACUUAGAAUGAAAAAAAGGUUUUCUAAGAGAAUUGAACUAGGAGAAUUGAUUAGCAGUAAAUGAAGUUAUAUAACCAGUGUUCUGAUCUCUUAAAUGUCUAAAAGAAGUACUAUAUUUUAUUUUGGAAUCUCACACAGUACACGACCGUUCUUGAAAUAUAGCUGUGCUCUAGGUUGUGUCAAGUUCUUGCAUUUCUAUCUAAAACUGGAGUUAAAAUGAGUCUUGAAUGCAUGGUGAUGGUGCUUGAAGGAAUACCGGUCAUGUCUUGGACUGUGUUGAAACUUGUGGCUCCUGUCCGAAAAAGGCUUUUCAGAAAAUGAACCGCGUACCUACGUCAUUUGGGACAUACGAGCAGUGUCUUGAUUAUUUUUCCUGAUUGUUUUAAUUUUAGUUUAUGCUGCAAUUUGAUCUCUGUAAAUAUCCUCGUAUAAACCCUUAAAAUGAUAUGUCACAAUUAGUUAAGUGUUUGUAAAUACCAAAACAUGUUUGUGGUUCAAACAAUUAGGUCUUCAAUUCCUUUUAUUCUCGUCAAUCUAGCUGCUUCUGAUUCUUCCUCCUUGCUUGCAUCGUCGUACAAGAUGAAAUUCUCCGUUAAAGCAGAGUGAUACAUAUGUAUAAAUAAUUUACACUGAGUCAGCCCUACUUCUAAUUUUUUGGUUGGUUAACACAGCUUUGUAUUGAUAAAUCGAGUUAACACACUCCAUGCUUGGAAGACGGGGUGGUUAGCCAUUUUGCUCGUCUUCAUGCUUGUAUUAUUUGAGAAUUGAGAGUGUCAAAAGAUUCUCAGCUUUAAAAUUUAGUUAAUCCCCCCAAAGAAUCUGGAGCUGCAAGUAUCUACUGCAAAGAAACUGGACUGUCGUACUGGAGAGAAGUGUUUUUGGAGCAUUUAUCAGCUGAAAACAUUAAUGUAUUGUCAUCGUCUUCUUUUGUUCUUUUUGGUAUGUCCUUCACAAAUCAUGCCUUUCAACCUCUAUUGCUUUUUUUGGUCCAUAUGCAAUCUCUUUUUCUACUGGUUAAUUUCCUUGUAAUCACUUGGUCUGUAUAAUAUCUAAAGAAGUUCGAAACUGGAAUGGAUCGGGUGCUAAAUUUGAUGCACGUAACUCUAUCUGGACUGGGAACAAACUUGAAUUAGGGCAGGCAGAUUCUAAUAAUACUAGCUAAGCAGGCUGGCUUCACUUGCAAUCAUAAUUCUGAUAAUGUGUCUACUACUUUUAGAUUAUUGGUAGUGAGCAUUGUUUAUCUUUUGUGGUUUCUUUAAAUCAGCAUUGUGCUGUUCUGCCGGCAGAGAGAAAAUUAAGUCAGUUUUGAUGGACCUGUUUAUAUGAACCAAGAACUAAUUAGCAAUAAUAAGAAGAAAAACAACAGUAAUUCAAUUCCAUCGGUUUGUAAUGCCGCCCUAUGAAAAUUUCAAGCUGAAAACUGGCUAAUCACAAGCAGAUAGCAAACAAAAUCCAAUCUCAAUAUAAUAUAACAUCGCUGGACUCAGUUAUUCAUCAAUCAAUGUGUUCAUAAUAAUGAAAGUACAGUAAUUUUAACUUCAUGUUUUAUGCAGUUCAUACAGUAAGGGUGAUGAGACAGGAGCUGACCAAUGCAAUGGCACAGCCACACAGAUCCGAUCACCCGUACUUCUAUUCUAACAUUCUAAAUACUCUUGAAGAAAAGCAUUGUGAUGUUUACAUUUUACCCAGGUUUGCAGGGCCAAUCUGAUUGCAGUUCUUCUGUAAAGCCAAAGAAAACAAUAAAAAUUUGGAGGAGACCCAAUGAGAUUGUAGCGUCAUUCAUAAGAUUGCCACACGGUCCAAAGGAAAACAUAAAUGGUCAAAGAUAAUGUAGACCCCAGAAACAGGUUUCAGCAAGAGACAACGAGAUGUUGACUCAUCCCUUUUAUUACAGGGAUUCGUAGAGAGACCUAUUUAUAUUUUCAUAAUGCACUUGCUAUUGACAUGAAAUGAUACAGAAAUAGCUCUGCCGAUUUGUGAAUGAUCAGCAGGCAGACAGCUUUAUCUAUAUUCAAUAUAAAGGCUUCACAUCUUUGACAUUGUGUAGUCCAUUGCAUCGACAAGGAAAUCUGCAACCACAGGAUUCAAGUGCACGUAGUUGGUAACGGUAUGGUUGCUAUGGAAUUUAUUAACGAUAGAAUUGAUUUGAUAAUCAGCAUAGGAGAAGAAUUAUAUACCUGCAUCUUGUUUAGUGAAACAGAGGGGAGGUGUAAUUCUAAACACAUUUCCAUAGAAUCCACCUUUUCCAACCAAGACGCCAAUUUCUGCAACAAAAACAAGUGUAUUAAAACCGGAAGUUACCUUAAAACAUAGCUAGACCAUAUGAAAUACAGACCUUUCAUCUGGUCCAUUAUAUGUAAAGUUUCAGCCUUUGCAGGAGUUUUCUGUUGGCGGUCAGUUACUAGUUCAACUCCCAGCAUCAAUCCUUUUCCCCUCACAUCUCCAAUAACUAAGCAAAUCAGUUAUAAUACAGUCAGCGACUCUUCUAAGCAGAAAUUCAACCAUUACUUUGACACGAGUACAAGAUAAAAUAAGCUGAAUUAUAAUGCAUAAACAAGUUCCAAAUGAUAAGAGUCAGGCAGUUGAAUUACUUUCAUAUUUAUCUUUGAGCUCAUUUAGUCUGUUUUUCAGGUGGGACCCCACAAUUGAUGCAUUUUCCUGAAGAUUUUCUUUCUCAAUCACUCUCAGAACAGCAAGCCCAGCAGCAGUACAUACAGG
This 5391-nucleotide long non-coding RNA is filed under the name Ricinus communis (castor bean). RNAcentral's name for it is "long non-coding RNA (RCOM_LNC002697)". The record is from RNAcentral. Lineage: Eukaryota; Viridiplantae; Streptophyta; Magnoliopsida; Malpighiales; Euphorbiaceae.